Molecule: long non-coding RNA, 1203 nt
Organism: Epinephelus fuscoguttatus (brown-marbled grouper)
Lineage: Eukaryota; Metazoa; Chordata; Actinopteri; Perciformes; Serranidae
Exons: 3
Source: RefSeq, a predicted model, not a curated record
UCAAGGCUGAAAUCAAGAAAAACCUGAGCACAAGAUAUGUGAAGGACAUGCUCCAUGUAGCAUCAGCGGUGGAUCCGCGGUUCAAAGUCCUGCCCUUCCUGUCAGAUGAGGAGCUAGGAAACACCUUCUCCAGACAGAAGCUAACCCUAACCCAUCAAGCUACUGAUGGUGAUGAUGAGGCUGAUGGAGUUGAGGGAGUGGUGGAACCCCCUUAACCUAAGAAGUCCAAGGAAUCCAGCGCCUUGAAGUCUCUCCUUGGGGAAGCCUACAGACCGAGCGAAAAUCCUCUGGCCUGGUGGAGGUCGAAUGAAAGAGAGUAUCCUCUUUUGGCUUGUGUAGCAAAGCGACACCUCUGUGUCCCUGGGACCAGUGACGCAUCUGAGAGGGUUUUUUCAACCGCGGGUGAUAUCAUCACCGCAAAAAGGAGCUGCCUCAACCCAAGGGCAUGUGAAUGAGCUCCUUUUCCUGCAAAAAAAUCUUUUAGUUCCCAAGUGAGAGCAGAGUUAUGAGAGGAGGACAGUUUACAGUCUAAGUCAAGUUUAAUUUCCAGUUUGAGUUUAUUUUGUUUUUCUUUGUUUCUAUAUCUAAUGCAUAGUGCACUAAAGCUUUGAUGGGAUUUUUAGACAGUUUACAGUUGGAAGUUUAAAAUGUCCAGUUUACAUGUUUGCACUUUGAAGGCAAUUGAAUGUCUUUUGCAUUUCUAAAGAAGCUACACAAAACUGUGAGACACAGUGAAGUGUCUUUAUGUUUCCUCAGGUACCGUACCUUUGAUGUUUAUUUACAUAAGGUAAUGAUAGUCUGGUUACUUUGAUGCCACUAGUAACCAACACUUUGUUUACAUUUACACUAGCUCAAUCUUUGUUACCUUUUCAUAUUGAUUAGACUGACUGCAUUAGAAAGACUGGUGAUAGUGGUUAGUCAGUCAUUCUGCUUGUCACACUGAUGCUGACUGGAGAGUGUAUACAACAUGCAGCAUAAAGUCUACUGUGACCCUACAGUAAAUGUGCUGUUCACAGCUGUUUGUGGGCCAAACGGCCAUGACAAAAUUAAAAUAAAAGUACAUUUGUAUUUGUUAAUAGCUUUGGGGUCAAUUCUUAAUGUAAUAUUUUUUAAUAAUGCACCAAGUUAGAGUUCCAGUACAAUUACAGCUUUUGUACAUUUUGAAUCUAAUUCUGUCCACAGUAGGACAUUAACGACUUUGAU